CCUACGGGGCGCUGCAGUGAGGAAUAUUGGUCAAUGGACGAGAGUCUGAACCAGCCAAGUAGCGUGAAGGAUGACUGCCCUAUGGGUUGUAAACUUCUUUUAUAUGGGAAUAAAACGUUCCACGUGUGGGAUUUUGUAUGUACCAUAUGAAUAAGGAUCGGCUAACUCCGUGCCAGCAGCCGCGGUAAUACGGAGGAUCCGAGCGUUAUCCGGAUUUAUUGGGUUUAAAGGGAGCGUAGGUGGAUUGUUAAGUCAGUUGUGAAAGUUUGCGGCUCAACCGUAAAAUUGCAGUUGAAACUGGCAGUCUUGAGUACAGUAGAGGUGGGCGGAAUUCGUGGUGUAGCGGUGAAAUGCUUAGAUAUCACGAAGAACUCCGAUUGCGAAGGCAGUUCACUGGACUGCAACUGACACUGAGGCUCGAAAGUGUGGGUAUCAAACAGGAUUAGAUACCCUGGUAGUC
RNAcentral lists this ribosomal RNA (460 nucleotides) under uncultured bacterium. Its description in RNAcentral is "partial 16S ribosomal RNA". It matches the Rfam family "Bacterial small subunit ribosomal RNA", at positions 338 to 795 of the family's 1533-position model. The record is from RNAcentral.